This 864-nucleotide long non-coding RNA is filed under the name Coffea arabica (coffee). RNAcentral describes it as "long non-coding RNA (CARA_LNC004098)". Lineage: Eukaryota; Viridiplantae; Streptophyta; Magnoliopsida; Gentianales; Rubiaceae. The record is from RNAcentral.
UUUUUUUUUUUUGAAUACUGCUCGCAAGGCGUGGGCAUGCCUUGUAGCCCAUAGUCCUCUGGUCAUGAGGUCUCUUCAAAAAAUUUUUUUUUUCAGGAGAAAGCCCUGUAAGGCGUGGGCACGCCCUGUAAGCCAAAGUUCUCUGGUCAGUGGCCUUUUUUCAAUUUCCCCUCCUUUACACAAGAAUUGCAUCAUAUAGCUCCUAAUCUAUCAGCACUUGCAACCCCAUUUCUGUUUGCUUUGCACAAAUGAUGGAAUUCAGGCAUCCCUUGACAACGCAGGGGUAAACAAGAAAGUUUAAAGAGGUCUUGGGUUAACAAACACGGAUAUCAACCAGAAACGAAGGACAAAAGCUCAAAUUGGUUCACUAUUGGGAGAUAAGAUGAGGGCUUGAUUUUUUAGAUAGCUGAAGAAGGUUAAAUCCUAAAUGCCCUUAUCAUUUCAAAUGCAUCCAAUUCAACAAAAAUGUGGCCUCGACAUGCAUAAACUAGCAAGUUCUAGAAUGCCAAUACCAUGUGUGAUACCCACUCAAUCAAACAAAAUAGAGCAAACAAGAAUAAUAUGCUCAAGCAAGGCUCAAAAGCUCCCCAAAAAUUACAAGAAUGGGUCAAUUCCUGCAUAUUCAACAUUCAAUGACAUUGCCAAGGGAAACAAAAUGCAUAGCUAGCAUACUUGACCACAUAACCACUCACUUUGAUUGUGUCAUUCAUCACAGCAACAUGCCCCAACACUAACAAGCAUAGAAAUAACCAAAAAGCCGACUAACUACAAUGCUUUCUUUUUUUUUUCAUUUUUUCCAUUUUGUUUCAUUUUUUGUUUCAUUUUUUUUCAAUUUUUUUUUGAGUAACAAAGCAAAAAAAAAAA